CGGCGGCGUACCGGGAAGUCGCUGAAGACAAAGCGAUGGUAGUUCUGGAGGCCUCGCUCCGGGGCCGACCCGAGGCCACAGUUCCUCCGCGGUAGACCGGACUUGGGUGACGGGCUCCGGGCUCCCGAGGUGAAGAGCAUCGGGGGCUGAGGGAUGGAAGGGUCUAAGACGUCCAACAACAGCACCAUGCAGGUGAGCUUCGUGUGCCAGCGCUGCAGCCAGCCCCUGAAACUGGACACGAGUUUCAAGAUCCUGGACCGUGUCACCAUCCAGGAACUCACAGCUCCAUUACUUACCACAGCCCAGGCGAAACCAGGAGAGACCCAGGAGGAAGAGACUAACUCAGGAGAGGAGCCAUUUAUUGAAACUCCUCGCCAGGAUGGUGUCUCUCGCAGAUUCAUCCCCCCAGCCAGGUGCCUACUACUUCUCAGCCCCCAUUCCUUGCCAAAGGCUAGUAGAAUUUUAAUUAAAUCCAGGAAUCGAGACCUGGAGCCAGGUGAUAGAGACGCAUCAUCACCUAGCCUUUUGGCCCUUUCAGAAAAGAUGUAUUCCCUUAUACCUGGCCCGUCACCUUCCAGUAUGGAUUUUUUCCUGUAGCUGUUCACAGAGUGGGAAAGGAUAGUAGCUUUAAUGAUGA
Molecule: small RNA, 637 nt
Filed under: Pan troglodytes (chimpanzee)
Lineage: Eukaryota; Metazoa; Chordata; Mammalia; Primates; Hominidae
Description: retained intron
Source: RNAcentral